Molecule: unclassified non-coding RNA, 197 nt
Filed under: soil metagenome
Description: partial contains 5.8S ribosomal RNA, internal transcribed spacer 2, and large subunit ribosomal RNA
Source: RNAcentral
AACGGUCUAUACCUGCGGUACCUGCGGAAGGAUCACUGUUAGAGAUGUGGGGAUUGGUGGGUGAGUGGGGGGAUUGGUGGAAUGGAUCGGUGGAUUCAUCUCAUCUCAUUCUCUCCCUCAUUACCAUUACCAUUAACACGCUUGCUUGUUUGACUGUAACCUAUAAUCACCUAUACAACUUUCAACAAUGGAUCUCU